ACCUGACUGCUAUCGGAUUGAUACUAAGCCAUGCGAGUCAUUGUAGCAAUACAAGGCAUACGGCUCAGUAACGCGUAGUCAACCUAACCUAUGGACGGGAAUAACCUCGGGAAACUGAGAAUAAUGCCCGAUAGAACACUAUACCUGGAAUGGUUUGUGUUCCAAAUGAUUUAUCGCCAUAGGAUGGGACUGCGGCCUAUCAGUUUGUUGGUGAGGUAAUGGCCCACCAAGACUAUUACAGGUACGGGCUCUGAGAGGAGUAGCCCGGAGAUGGGUACUGAGACACGGACCCAGGCCCUAUGGGGCGCAGCAGGCGAGAAAACUUUGCAAUGUGCGAAAGCACGACAAGGUUAAUCCGAGUGAUUUGUGCUAAACGAAUCUUUUGUUAGUCCUAGAAACACUAACGAAUAAGGGGUGGGCAAGUUCUGGUGUCAGCCGCCGCGGUAAAACCAGCACCUCAAGUGGUCAGGAUGAUUAUUGGGCCUAAAGCCUCCGUAGCCGGCUCUGUAAGUUUUCGGUUAAAUCUGUACGCUUAACGUACAGGCUGCCGGGAAUACUGCAGAGCUAGGGAGUGGGAGAGGUAGACGGUACUCGGUAGGAAGUGGUAAAAUGCUUUGAUCUAUCGAUGACCACCUGUGGCGAAGGCGGUCUACCAGAACACGUCCGACGGUGAGGGAUGAAAGCUGGGGGAGCAAACCGGAUUAGAUACCCGGGUAGUCCCAGCUGUAAACUAUGCAAACUCAGUGAUGCAUUGGCUUGUGGCCAAUGCAGUGCUGCAGGGAAGCCGUUAAGUUUGCCGCCUGGGAAGUACGUACGCAAGUAUGAAACUUAAAGGAAUUGGCGGGGGAGCACCACAAGGGGUGAAGCCUGCGGUUC
This 876-nucleotide ribosomal RNA is filed under the name uncultured crenarchaeote. RNAcentral's name for it is "bacterial SSU rRNA". It matches the Rfam family "Archaeal small subunit ribosomal RNA", at positions 21 to 903 of the family's 1478-position model. Lineage: Archaea; Thermoproteati; Thermoproteota. The record is from RNAcentral.